Molecule: long non-coding RNA, 993 nt
Organism: Ziziphus jujuba (common jujube)
Lineage: Eukaryota; Viridiplantae; Streptophyta; Magnoliopsida; Rosales; Rhamnaceae
Exons: 4
Source: RefSeq, a predicted model, not a curated record
CAUUUGGUUUGAUGAGCAACGGUCAAAUUUUAAAUUUCAAACGUAAUAGAGCAGCUCUUCCCAACGGCUAGUUUGAUGACAACGGUCAACUUUUAACUCUAAUACAUAAUAGACAACUGUAGCUCUUGCUCAAAAAAUAUACGGAUGGGUCGGAGUGGUUUUUUCGCUGUGGAGAUUUUCCUUCCUAUUAUGUUAAUUUUUCCUUCUCUUCCUUCCAUCAUUACUACUGAAAAUGGUACAAGAAAAAACCAGAAGGAAAAGAAAUCGGGCGAGGAAAGGAGGAGAUGGGGAGGGGGUCUCUGAAGAUAAACUGUUUGAAGAAAUGUCUGUGAACAAACUGUUUCCUUUGUAGAAACGAUGUUGAAUCAUCAAAAGACAAGGAAAGACUGAAACUCAGCCAAGGUCUCAAACCACGGCAUAUCAAGUUCUGGUUCCACGACCGGCGAACCCAGAUGAGGAAUGUCGCCCCCUUCGUUUUUCACUCUUUCAUGGCUGGAGAUGCUUUUGUACAGUUAGUACCAUAAUUUCUUCGAUGACUCUGAGACAAAAAACAACCUUGUGAAGCUAGCCUGCUUUGCUGUGUUAUAGUUUCUCAACAGUAUUAGAGAAAGCAGUCAUUUGUUAUCUUGAUGGGGUUGAGAAACUUAAGCACCACAAGAGAGAAUUUGAGAGCAUGACAGAUAUUGUCACUUGGAUAAUUGUUAAUAAUAAAAGAUAUAGAUUUGUUGUUGGUUUGGGAGGAAGAAGACCGCUGGGAUUGCCAGGUCGUCCUCCCUCUGCUGUGGGUGUGGUGUGUGGUGUGUGGUGUGUGCUCCCCUCUCUCUCACUCUCUUUCUCUCUACUUGCUUUUUUUUCCUCUCCAUUUCUCUCUACUUUCUCUUUCUCUAUUACUUUUCCCUCUUGACUUUUUCUCUGUGUUUUUUUUUUUUUUUUCCUCUUGCCUUGAUCUCUUCACUUUCUUUCUCUUUUAUUUAUCUCUUUUACUUUCUUUAA